GCUAAAUAGACCAGAGCCCCCGUAACGAUCCAGAUGGAUAUGACUGAGAUGAACGCCCCGAGGAUUUCUGCGGAGGGACAAGAGAGAGGGAGACGCAGGAAUACUUCUUCACUUUUAACAUAAAGAGUAAUAUGAGCGCUGUCUCUGACCUGAUCUGUGCCAACCAAAGUUCAUGGUCUUGGUGGGCGGCCUGGACGAGAUCCACAGGGAGAACAGGCUCACCAUCAUGCUGCCGAAAUCUGUGAGGAGGUGGGCGGCGUCCGUCAUGAUGGCCAGGCUGUGGGCCAGGUAGCCCCCUAAAAGAACAACCAGGAAAUAACUGACGUUAGGAAAUAUUUGCGUUCAUUUGCCGAGGGUUAGGGGUUCUGAGGGCUGAGCUUCCAAACUUUUACCUAUGACCUCGCCGAUCAUGAAGACGAGGCAGACGGCCGAGGCGAUGCAGAGCUUCUUCCUGGCCAGCAUCCUGUCCACGCCCUCGUCGCGCACCAGGGCCUUGGUGCCGUGGCAGUGGGCGCCGACGGGUCGCUUCAGCUCGAUGGCGCCGGCCAUGCCGCCGUUCUUGAAAGGGAAGUCGGGAUACUGCUCUUUGGAGUCCGGAAAGGCGCUGCAGAGAGAGACACGGGCAGUAAGUCUCAGGAGAUCACUGUGCCAGACAAGACAAGAGAUGGUCCGGGACUGAACCCCUGUAAAACCACAAACUGUCUGUGGCUGUCGGUCUGGUAUCUAUCGUCAACUGUCCAUAAAGAUGGAGGUCGUGACAGCUCCCCAAAAGGAAGGUCUAAAUGUGAGCAAGGAGCGAUGCCAGCUGGGGAAAAAACGCUAAAGCCCGAACGAGCUGAUGCUGAUGCUGAUGCUGAUGCUGAUGCUGCUGAUGAUGAUGAUGAUGCUGAUGAUGCCUAAUGACAGAUGAUGAGUUUUCUCAGCGCUGCUCAGUGAACUGGCCCCGGGGCCAUUUGUCACCGCCUGUCCACAAACGAGCCAAGCGUUGAAUUUGUUCAUUCGCAUAAAAAAAAAACAGCCCGGCGAGAGAGGGGGGGCAUGCUUAACAUGCACCACGGUAACAACGUUACACGUUACACACAACCUGCACAACGCAACACACACUUGCUUUUACUCCAUCUCCUGCAGACGUGCGCAAUGUUCACUUUUGCGCGUCUUUGGCGCUUAACAUCACAAUCGCCUCCUCCUCACCGGCCACUCAACUCGACGCAAUCCCCCAAAAAGUUUCUCCCACAAGCAAUUUUACCACACAAACGCCACAUAUGUGACAUUGUGCAGAGCAUUUUCUCUCUCCGUGCAGCUGCACUUAUGAUGUGCGCGACACGUGCCGCCGCUCCCACCUUUGCAGUUUCAGGGAAUACAUCUUGGCAUUCUUCUCGUGUAUCAGCUGAGAUUUCUCCGAAUUGGCGGCGUUAUUAUCCAUGGAU
Molecule: long non-coding RNA, 1427 nt
Organism: Scophthalmus maximus (turbot)
Lineage: Eukaryota; Metazoa; Chordata; Actinopteri; Pleuronectiformes; Scophthalmidae
Exons: 5
Source: RefSeq, a predicted model, not a curated record